ACUACUAUAAUACAAACCAUUCAUUAUAUGUAGACAAUAGCAGUAUUAGCAUUUCAAGUCAAGCUUUUCAGCCUUCAAUCUCAGCAGUUUUCUUGCAUUUUACAAUUAGAUUUUUCUAAUAACUGCACAGUUGUGGUUUGUGGUCUUACAGUGGUCUUCUCUCUUUUAUAGAAUGGAGAUGCCCAAAGCAGAAGGAUCGACAGAGGGAAUUCACUCCCUAGUAUGCUGGAACAAAAGAUUUACCCAUAUGAGAUGCUCCUUGUGACUCACCGAGGCAGAAACAAACUCCCUCCUGGUGUAGACAGGACAAGACUGGAGAGGCACCUGUCACCUGAGGAAUUCCAG
Molecule: long non-coding RNA, 345 nt
Organism: Sinocyclocheilus rhinocerous
Lineage: Eukaryota; Metazoa; Chordata; Actinopteri; Cypriniformes; Cyprinidae
Exons: 3
Source: RefSeq, a predicted model, not a curated record